GAGGGUGUAGCUCAGUGGUAGAGCGCAUGCUCAGCAUGCACAAGGUCCUGGGUUCAAUCCCCAGCACUUCCA
Molecule: transfer RNA, 72 nt
Filed under: Camelus bactrianus (Bactrian camel)
Lineage: Eukaryota; Metazoa; Chordata; Mammalia; Artiodactyla; Camelidae
Also listed under: 1 other name
Rfam family: tRNA
About the family: Transfer RNA (tRNA) molecules are approximately 80 nucleotides in length. Their secondary structure includes four short double-helical elements and three loops (D, anti-codon, and T loops). Further hydrogen bonds mediate the characteristic L-shaped molecular structure. tRNAs have two regions of fundamental functional importance: the anti-codon, which is responsible for specific mRNA codon recognition, and the 3' end, to which the tRNAs corresponding amino acid is attached (by aminoacyl-tRNA synthetases). tRNAs cope with the degeneracy of the genetic code in two manners: having more than one tRNA (with a specific anti-codon) for a particular amino acid; and 'wobble' base-pairing, i.e. permitting non-standard base-pairing at the 3rd anti-codon position.
Source: Rfam by way of RNAcentral